This 1569-nucleotide unclassified non-coding RNA is filed under the name Bombus terrestris (buff-tailed bumblebee). RNAcentral's name for it is "misc RNA ENSBTSG00005039206.1". The record is from RNAcentral. Lineage: Eukaryota; Metazoa; Arthropoda; Insecta; Hymenoptera; Apidae.
GACAACCAAUCACAGCAGACGAGUGAGUCCGACUGAUCACGAACAAUGAACAAAGUGUCGACGGUCUAGGCCGAUGGAUUCCGUAAAUAUCCGAAUUUUCACGACAAGUUUACGCAACUACGAUACACGUACUAACGUAGCAAACGAUAAUAGGGCUAGUAUUCUGAGAAGCAUAGUAUGAGGAGCAGUUCUUGGAAAGGUACAAAUUAAGGGAAAGAAAAAUAGACAAAGGAAAACAUUGGUGAAUCAGAAUAAUCCCAUAAAUAUUUUGAUCGACAAGAGGCACAGGCAAUCAACGUGGGCGCAAGUUAUCGACAAUUUUCAUUUACGUUGAACGAAAUGCGGUGGCCGAUGGUUACCGCGGAAAUAUCGAACGAAAAGUUUGCCUCUGGUUUUUGCAUCCUGUCUCUAAUAUAAUUGGAGCCUGGGGAAACGAGAUCGACGAGGACCGCCUGUACGAAACAAGAUCGAAAAUUGGAGAAAGAGAUAAAAGAAACAGACCAGCUGGGUUUUCGAUACGACUCGAACGCAGCGCGACUGUGAUUUCUAUAAAAUCACGCUGCCCGAAGGCAGCUGUAGUUUUAGAAUAAUUAUAAUUACAGUAUCGAAAUCCAACAUGCUUGCAAAAUCUAUGAAGUUACGAUUGUAAUACUGAUAAAAGCUAAGGUAGUUAUAGUUGCAUUACUGACAGAAACCAACUUAGUCUCACGUAGAGCAUAAUUGUUAAAACAUGUUAUGGAAAACUGUACAAUAUCGCAGUAUUAUACAACAGGUUACUGUACAGCGAUAUAUAACUACCCAUAACAAGUUCUCCGUCAUCCAAAAUAAAAUGAGCACGAUCGAAAGCUUAUAACUCGUGCCAUUAAUAAGAAGAACGGGGUUAUAACUCAAACAACAUUUAAAAGUCCAUCGAUUACCCAUCGAUUAUCCAGAAAGAGAAAAAAAAAAGAAAACUGCAUGAUAGAAGCAUCCAAUAAAGAACGUUUCGAAGCGCAAAAUGCGCUUUAAAUUUUGACAAAUUUGUCACGGGUGUCGCUCGAAAAUUAAAUUAAACCAUUCUAGUUUAGAACACCGGUUUAUAUUAAGCAACUUUUUUCUUCAGUCCAACCAGCUUCUACCGCGUCGUUCGAUGUAAAAUGACCACUUUUUAAUGAGCACACGGCACAUCCACGCCACGACAAAUUACCAUGAGACCAAAGGAGAAAGAAGAAUGACGUUGACGACGUUUUCAACGUGACGCUUUGAUAGCCGCCGGUUCUUGCGAUUCUCAGAACGGCCAGUUGCUGAACCUUUUCUUGGAAAUCAGUUUACGUUACAUAUUACGUAGCGGGCUCGUUGUUUCGACUUAUUAUGUCAUCAUAAAAAUGUAUCGCAUCUUGAUCAGUACGGGAACGUAGCACCUUGCCUUGGUUGGUCCUACCAAUUACACAGUUCCGUUGUUAGAAACUGUUAUUCCUUGCACGAACAUAUCUCUUUUUGUUGUGGAAAUUUCGUGUCAGUUUCCGCUUAAUCUCGAAUUAGAUUUUUUGGGAAUAUAAGAAUUCUUGUUUAAUUCUAAUAUAUUAUUUU